RNAcentral lists this long non-coding RNA (320 nucleotides) under Oryza brachyantha (malo sina). Its description in RNAcentral is "long non-coding RNA (OBRA_LNC002300)". The record is from RNAcentral. Lineage: Eukaryota; Viridiplantae; Streptophyta; Magnoliopsida; Poales; Poaceae.
GAAUGCUUCUGAGAUAGUAUUUCUUCUUCCCCUCGCUCUAUGUUUAUCUUCCUAAAAAAAGCUUAGUGCAGUCCGCUUAUUUUGAAAAUGGGUGGCAUUAGGAAAUAAGCACAUUGCUGCAACACGACACCAAGUCCUUUUACCAAGCCAAUGUGGGAAUCAAUAAACGGCUUAGAGCUGCAAGACGGCAGUCACAUGAAGUUGGAUUGUGCUCUGCAUGCAGCGGCAAGUACGCUCGGGCAUCCCGGUUUCUUGGCGGAGUCGACGAAAGGAGCAGCGAGUUAGGUCAGGGCCGUUACUGGGAUACCGUCAAUUAUGAC